This 392-nucleotide unclassified non-coding RNA is filed under the name Hevea brasiliensis (rubber tree). The record is from RNAcentral. Lineage: Eukaryota; Viridiplantae; Streptophyta; Magnoliopsida; Malpighiales; Euphorbiaceae.
GGUCUCCUCAGAUGUGGAAAGAGCUGUAGACUAAGAUGGAUGAACUAUCUAAGGCCAGACAUCAAGAGAGGGAACAUCACUUCUGAUGAAGAAGAUCUUAUAAUCAGAAUGCAUGCCCUGCUUGGCAACCGAUGGUCUCUCAUCGCUGGAAGACUUCCAGGCCGAACUGAUAAUGAGAUCAAGAAUCAUUGGAACACCCAUCUCAGCAAGAGACUUAGAAGCCAAGGAACUGAUCCGAAUACCCACAAAAAAUUGGCAGAGCCAGUUCAACAAGAAGGAAAUAAGAGAAAAAGUAACAAGGGCACCUCCAACAACAAGAAACGCAAGAAAAGCAAAGUCAAAGUAGAGUCAUUAAAGCCCAAAAUCCAUCUCCCCAAGCCUGUUAGGUUUUC